This 433-nucleotide ribosomal RNA is filed under the name uncultured bacterium. RNAcentral's name for it is "partial 16S ribosomal RNA". It matches the Rfam family "Bacterial small subunit ribosomal RNA", at positions 29 to 507 of the family's 1533-position model. The record is from RNAcentral.
AACGAACGCUGGCGGCAUGCCUAACACAUGCAAGUCGAACGAGACCUUCGGGUCUAGUGGCGCACGGGUGCGUAACGCGUGGGAACCUGCCCUUAGGUUCGGAAUAACUCCCCGACAGGGGUGCUAAUACCGGAUAAUUUCCUCCAACCAAAGAUUUAUCGCCUUUGGAUGGGCCCGCGUUGGUUUAGCUAGUUGGUAGGGUAAAAGCCUACCAAGGCGAGGAUCCAUAGCUGGUCUGAGAGGAGGAUCAGCAACACUGGGACGAAGACACGGCCCAGACUCCUACGGGAGGCAGCAGUGGGGAAUAUUGGAAAAUGGGGGAAGGCCUGAUCCAGCAAUGCCGCGUGAGUGAUGAAGGUCUUAGGGUUGUAAAGCUCUUUUACCCGGGAUGAUAAUGACAGUACCGGGAGAAUAAGCUCCGGCUAACUCCGUG